This 2168-nucleotide ribosomal RNA is filed under the name Agathobacter rectalis. RNAcentral describes it as "[Eubacterium] rectale partial 23S ribosomal RNA". It matches the Rfam family "Bacterial large subunit ribosomal RNA", at positions 1 to 2205 of the family's 2925-position model. The record is from RNAcentral. Lineage: Bacteria; Bacillati; Bacillota; Clostridia; Lachnospirales; Lachnospiraceae.
AGAUUAAGCAAAGAAGAGCGCAGGGUGGAUGCCUUGGCACUAAGAGCCGAAGAAAGACGUGAUAAGCUGCGAAAAGCUGCGGGGAGAUGCAAAUAAUCCUUGAUCCGCAGAUGUCUGAAUGGGGAAACCCGGUACGAAGAACUCGUAUCAUCCAUACGCCAAUCCAUAACGUAUGGAGGGGAACCCGGUGAACUGAAACAUCUAAGUAGCCGGAGGAAGAGAAAGAAACAUCGAUUUUGUUAGUAGCGGCGAGCGAAAGCGAAAGAGGCCAAACCGGAGUGCGUGCACUCCGGGGUUCGGACCGCAUUUAAGAUUCAGUAAUCCUAGCAGAAAGGUUUGGGAAAGCCUGCCGGAGAGGGUGAAAGCCCCGUAAGCGAAAGGAGAGCUGACUGAGCGGGAUCCAGAGUACAUCGAGACACGAGAAACCUUGAUGGAAUGAGCGGGGACCACCCCGUAAGCCUAAAUACUACUUAGUGACCGAUAGCGCAUAGUACUGUGAAGGAAAGGUGAAAAGGACCCCGGGAGGGGAGUGAAAGAGAACCUGAAACCCUGUGUUUACAAGCUGUGGAAGUUCUUUAAAUGAACAACCGCGUACUUUUUGUAGAACGGUCCGGCGAGUUGCGGAUACUGGCAAGGUUAAGCACUUAAGGUGCGGAGCCGAAGGGAUACCAAGUCUUAACAGGGCGUUAAGUCAGUAUACGCAGACCCGAAACCGGGUGAUCUAUCCAUGUCCAGGUUGAAGUUGUCGUAAAAGACAAUGGAGGACCGAAGCCACAUCCGUUGAAAAGGGUGGGCAUGAGGUGUGGAUAGGGGAGAAAUUCCAAUCGAACCCGGAGAUAGCUGGUUCUCCUCGAAAUAGCUUUAGGGCUAGCCUCGAUUUAGUCUUAUGGAGGUAGAGCACUGAAUUUCCGCGGGGGCGUCAAAGCUUACCAAAGAAUAUCAAACUCCGAAUGCCAUGUAGAUGAUGAUCGGGAGUCAGACUGCACGAGAUAAGUUGGGCAGUCAAAAGGGAAAGAGCCCAGACCACCGGCUAAGGUCCCAAAGUGCGUGUUAAGUGGAAAAGGAUGUGGGAAUUCGAAGACAACUAGGAUGUUGGCUCAGAAGCAGCCAUACAUUCAAAGAGUGCGUAACAGCUCACUAGUCGAGAGUUCCUGCGCCGAAAAUGUCCGGGGCUGAAACACGACACCGAAGCCGUGGACUCGCAAUGCGAGUGGUAGAGGAGCAUUCUUAAAACCGACGAAGCUGUACCGAAAGGAGCAGUGGAGGGAUAAGAAGAGAGAAUGCCGGAAUGAGUAGCGAGAGAAAGGUGGGAAUCCUUUCGGCCGAAUAUCUAAGGUUUCCAGAGUAAAGCUGAUCUGCUCUGGGUAAGUCGGGGCCUAAGCACAGGUCGCAAGACGUAAGCGAUGGAUAACAGGUUUAGAUUCCUGUACCACGCAUUAUCAGAACUGUAGGGACGCAUGUGGAAAGCACGAGCCGGGAAUGGAAAGACCGGUACAAGCGGGGUAGGUGUACAAUAGGCAAAUCCGUUGUAUAAUCCGAAGACGUGAUGUGGAGCGAAAUAAAGUAGUGAAGCGUGUGAGCCAUGUGCCGAGAAAAGCUGCUAUUGUGUAAUGCGUGCCCGUACCGUAAACCGACACAGGUGGAUGAGGAGAGAAUCCUAAGGCCGACGGAAGAAGCAUUGUUAAGGAAUUCGGCAAAAUGACCCCGUAACUUCGGGAGAAGGGGUGCCUGCGAGAGCAGGCCGCAGAGAAUAGGCUCAAGCAACUGUUUAGCAAAAACACAGGUCUAUGCGAAACCGAAAGGUGAAGUAUAUGCUGACGCCUGCCCGGUGCUGGAAGGUUAAGAGGAGAGGUUAGCUUCGGCGAAGCUUUGAAUUUAAGCCCCAGUAAACGGCGGCCGUAACUAUAACGGUCCUAAGGUAGCGAAAUUCCUUGUCGGGUAAGUUCCGACCCGCACGAAAGGCGUAAUGAUUUGAGCACUGUCUCGACAAUGCAUCCGGUGAAAUUGAAGUACCAGUGAAGAUGCUGGUUACCCGCGCCAGGACGGAAAGACCCCAUGGAGCUUUACUCCAGUUUGAUACUGGGAUUCGGUACUGCAUGUACAGGAUAGGUGGGAGACGAAGAAGGAUGGACGCCAGUCUGUCCGGAGUCGCUGUUGGGAUACCACCC